AUUGAACGCUGGCGGCAUGCCUUACACAUGCAAGUCGAACGGUAACAGGUCUUCGGAUGCUGACGAGUGGCGAACGGGUGAGUAAUACAUCGGAACGUGCCUAGUAGUGGGGGAUAACUACUCGAAAGAGUGGCUAAUACCGCAUGAGAUCUACGGAUGAAAGCAGGGGAUCGCAAGACCUUGUGCUACUAGAGCGGCCGGUGGCAGAUUAGGUAGUUGGUGGGAUAAAAGCUUACCAAGCCGACGAUCUGUAGCUGGUCUGAGAGGACGAUCAGACACACUGGGACUGAGACACGGCCCAGACUCCUACGGGAGGCAGCAGUUGGGAAUUUUGGACAAUGGGCGAAAGCCUGAUCCAGCAAUGCCGCGUGCAGGAUGAAGGCCUUCGGGUUGUAAACUGCUUUUGUACGGAACGAAAAGCCCCGGGUUAAUACCCUGGGGUCAUGACGGUACCGUAAGAAUAAGCACCGGCUAACUACGUGCCAGCAGCCGCCGUAA
This 498-nucleotide ribosomal RNA is filed under the name uncultured bacterium. RNAcentral's name for it is "partial 16S ribosomal RNA". It matches the Rfam family "Bacterial small subunit ribosomal RNA", at positions 30 to 523 of the family's 1533-position model. The record is from RNAcentral.